GAUGAACGCUGGCGGCGUGCCUAAUACAUGCAAGUCGAGCGAACAGACGAGGAGCUUGCUCCUCUGACGUUAGCGGCGGACGGGUGAGUAACACGUGGAUAACCUACCUAUAAGACUGGGAUAACUUCGGGAAACCGGAGCUAAUACCGGAUAACAUGUUGAACCGCAUGGUUCAACAGUGAAAGACGGUUUUGCUGUCACUUAUAGAUGGAUCCGCGUCGCAUUAGCUAGUUGGUAAGGUAACGGCUUACCAAGGCAACGAUGCGUAGCCGACCUGAGAGGGUGAUCGGCCAAACUGGAACUGAGACACGGUCCAGACUCCUACGGGAGGCAGCAGUAGGGAAUCUUCCGCAAUGGGCGAAAGCCUGACGGAGCAACGCCGCGUGAGUGAAGAAGGUCUUCGGAUCGUAAAACUCUGUUAUUAGGGAAGAACAAAUGUGUAAGUAACUAUGCACGUCUUGACGGUACCUAAUCAGAAAGCCACGGCUAACUACGUG
This 497-nucleotide ribosomal RNA is filed under the name uncultured bacterium. RNAcentral describes it as "partial 16S ribosomal RNA". It matches the Rfam family "Bacterial small subunit ribosomal RNA", at positions 28 to 507 of the family's 1533-position model. The record is from RNAcentral.